Ruditapes philippinarum (Manila clam) is the source of this 412-nucleotide long non-coding RNA. RefSeq lists it as uncharacterized. The record is from RefSeq and is a predicted model, not a curated record. NCBI's taxonomy places the organism in Eukaryota, Metazoa, Mollusca, Bivalvia, Venerida, Veneridae. The transcript is spliced from 3 exons.
GGGGGGGGAAUCACGUGACUUUGUGUAGUAAUACCCACGAGAAAAUGGCGACUGCUGAGACCCGUAUCUGCAAUUUGGACCAAAAACGCAAAGGAGAAGACAUUCGCCAUUUCACAUUGAUAUUUAAUGCCAUCAUAGAACUGUAAAAUGAGGGCCAAGACACACCUGAAACUGCAGAGGUCAAAGAACUACUAUCGCAACAGAAUAGGAAUGAGCCAUGUAAUAUCAAAUCCCAUCAAAAGUUCAUUUGAUAUAUUAUGAUUACAACCAAUUAAGCAUUCGUUCUAUAGACAAAAAGUGAAAUAUUUGAUCUUGAAUAAUUGAAAUAAGUAUUUUCUAUCUCUUUACAUAUGAACUUUAACUUUCUUUUUAUGUAUAUGUAUGCCAAUGGAAACUUACUGUGAAACUUACU